CUUGGCGGCGAGAGUGCAGUGGACCCACCUGAAUCCAUAACGAUCUCAGAAGUGAAACGCAGUAAUGCCGAUGGUAGUGUGGGGUUUCCCCAUGAGAGAGUAGGGCACCGCCAGGU
This 116-nucleotide ribosomal RNA is filed under the name Rodentibacter pneumotropicus. The record is from RNAcentral. Lineage: Bacteria; Pseudomonadati; Pseudomonadota; Gammaproteobacteria; Pasteurellales; Pasteurellaceae.